Molecule: long non-coding RNA, 223 nt
Filed under: Elaeis guineensis (African oil palm)
Lineage: Eukaryota; Viridiplantae; Streptophyta; Magnoliopsida; Arecales; Arecaceae
Description: long non-coding RNA (EGUI_LNC066637)
Source: RNAcentral
UGAAUGAAGACGGUACUUAGCACUUUUUAGGAGGCAACCCAAAUUUUUUUACUUUAUUUUAACUGAUCUUUAUUUUUUUAAGAAUAAUAGGCCAUUCUGUGUGGAAGCACCUAUCAAUAAAUAUGGUCCGACUGAAGACUUAAAAUUUAGUGCUUUGUGGGAGGCAACUCAGUUCCAGCUUUUGCUUUUACUUUCUUUUGUAUUUUAAUUGAGUCUUGCUUCG